This 495-nucleotide ribosomal RNA is filed under the name uncultured bacterium. RNAcentral's name for it is "bacterial SSU rRNA". It matches the Rfam family "Bacterial small subunit ribosomal RNA", at positions 28 to 517 of the family's 1533-position model. The record is from RNAcentral.
GAUGAACGCUGGCGGCGUGCUUAACACAUGCAAGUCGAGGGGCAUCACAUGAAGUAGCAAUACGGAUGGUGGCGACCGGCGCACGGGUGAGUAACACGUAUGCAACCUGCCUUCAACAAGGGGAUAACCCGUUGAAAGACGGACUAAUACCCUAUAACACAGGGGUCCCGCAUGGGAAUAUUUGUUAAAGGACAACCGGUUGAAGAUGGGCAUGCGUUCCAUUAGCUAGUUGGCGGGUAACGGCCCACCAAGGCAACGAUGGAUAGGGGAACUGAGAGGUUUAUCCCCCACACUGGUACUGAGACACGGACCAGACUCCUACGGGAGGCAGCAGUGAGGAAUAUUGGUCAAUGGACGCAAGUCUGAACCAGCCACGUCGCGUGAAGGAAGACGGCCCUAGGGUUGUAAACUUCUUUUAACGGGAAUAAGUGCCCCACGCGUGGGGUUUUGCAUGUACCGUAUGAAUAAGAUCGGCUAACUCCGUGCCAGCAGCCG